CGAGGAAAAGAAACUAACAAGGAUUCCCCUAGUAACUGCGAGUGAAGCGGGAUGAGCUCAAAUUUCGAAUCUGGCGGUCCCUCGAGACCGUCCGAAUUGUAAUCUAGAGAAGCGUCUUCCGCGCUGGCCCGUGUACAAGUCUCCUGGAAAGGAGCGUCAUAGAGGGUGACAAUCCCGUCUCUGACACGGACUACCAGGGCUUAUGUGAUGCGCUCUCCACGAGUCGAGUUGUUUGGGAAUGCAGCUCAAAUCGGGUGGUAAAUUCCAUCUAAAGCUAAAUACAGGCGAGAGACCGAUAGCGUACAAGUACCGUGAGGGAAAGACGAAAAGAACUUUGAAAAGAGAGUUAAACAGUACGUGAAAUUGCUGAAAGGGAAACGCUUGAUGUCCAGUCGCGUUCGUCGGGGAUCAACCUUGCUGAUCUUAAGCUUGGUGCACUUUCCGCUCGGACGGGUCAGCAUCAGUUUCGAUCGACGUACAAAAGCAGGGGGAACGUGGCACUCUAUCCAGAGUGUGUUAUAGCCCUUUGUCGCAUGCGCCGAUGGGGACUGAGGAACUCAGCACGACCCUCGUCGGUCUUGUGCAUGGGAUGCUGGCAUAAUGGCAUUCAGCGACCCGUCUUGAAACACGGACCAAGGAGUCUAACAUGCAUGCGAGUGUUCGGGUGCAAAACCCAGAGCGCGCAAUGAAAGUGAAAGUCGAGAUCUCUCUUCUAGGAGUGCACCGACGCCCGGACCAGAGUCUUUUCGACGACGGAUCCUGCGGUAGAGCAUGUACGUUGGGACCCGAAAGAUGGUGAACUAUGCCUGAAUAGGGUGAAGCCAGAGGAAACUCUGGUGGAAGCUCGUAGCGAUUCUGACGUGCAAAUCGAUCGUCGAAUUUGGGUAUAGGGG
This 893-nucleotide ribosomal RNA is filed under the name Borofutus dhakanus. Its description in RNAcentral is "eukaryotic LSU rRNA". It matches the Rfam family "Eukaryotic large subunit ribosomal RNA", at positions 52 to 923 of the family's 3401-position model. The record is from RNAcentral. Lineage: Eukaryota; Fungi; Basidiomycota; Agaricomycetes; Boletales; Boletaceae.